This 254-nucleotide ribosomal RNA is filed under the name uncultured bacterium. RNAcentral describes it as "partial 16S ribosomal RNA". It matches the Rfam family "Bacterial small subunit ribosomal RNA", at positions 524 to 777 of the family's 1533-position model. The record is from RNAcentral.
UACGAAGGGGGCUAGCGUUGUUCGGAAUUACUGGGCGUAAAGCGCACGUAGGCGGACAUUUAAGUCAGGGGUGAAAUCCCAGAGCUCAACUCUGGAACUGCCUUUGAUACUGGGUGUCUUGAGUAUGGAAGAGGUGAGUGGAAUUCCGAGUGUAGAGGUGAAAUUCGUAGAUAUUCGGAGGAACACCAGUGGCGAAGGCGGCUCACUGGUCCAUUACUGACGCUGAGGUGCGAAAGCGUGGGGAGCAAACAGGG